CCGGGCAGGUGGGGCUCGUUAGCCGUGGUAGGCAAUCUGCCUAGGAGAGCAAACUCCGAACAACAAACCCGGGCAGGUGAGGUUCGUUAGCCGUGGUAGGCAAUUCACCUAGGAGAGCAAACUCCGAACAAUAAACCCGGGCAGGUUGGGCUCGUGAGCCGUCAUAGGUAAUACACCUAGGAGAGCAAACUCCGAACAAUAAACCCGGGCAGGUGGAGGUCGUUAGCGAAAGCAAUUCAUCUAGGAGAGCAAACUCCGAUUACAAACCCGGGCAGGUGGAGGUCGUUAGCGAAAGCAAUUCAUCUAGGAGAGCAAACUCCGAUUACAAACCCGGGCAGGUGGAG
This is a long non-coding RNA of Eriocheir sinensis (Chinese mitten crab), 344 nucleotides long. RefSeq lists it as uncharacterized. The transcript is spliced from 3 exons. NCBI's taxonomy places the organism in Eukaryota, Metazoa, Arthropoda, Malacostraca, Decapoda, Varunidae. The record is from RefSeq and is a predicted model, not a curated record.